UAAUACGAAGGGUGCUAGCGUUGUUCGGAAUUACUGGGCGUAAAGCGCGUGUAGGUGGUCCUCACAGCCAGGGGUGAAAUGCCGAAGCUUAACUUCGGAAUUGCCUUUGGUACUAGAGGGCUAGAGUCUGAUAGAGGAUGGUAGAAUUCCUAGUGUAGCGGUGAAAUGCGUAGAUAUUAGGAGGAAUACCGGUGGCGAAGGCGGCCAUCUGGAUCAGUACUGACACUAAGACGCGAAAGCGUGGGGAGCAAACAGGAUUAGAUACCCUGGUAGUCCACGCCGUAAACGAUGCAUGCUAGGUGUUGGGACGUACGUCUCAGUACCACAGUUAACACGUUAAGCAUGCCGCCUGGGGAGUACGGUCGCAAGAUUA
Molecule: ribosomal RNA, 373 nt
Filed under: uncultured bacterium
Lineage: Bacteria
Description: bacterial SSU rRNA
Rfam family: Bacterial small subunit ribosomal RNA
Source: RNAcentral